UGGGGAAUAUUGCGCAAUGGGGGAAACCCUGACGCAGCAACGCCGCGUGGAGGAUGAAGGCCUUCGGGUCGUAAACUCCUGUCAGGUGGGAAGAAUAGGUUUCGGCUAAUACCCGAAACUGUUGACGGUACCACCAGAGGAAGCCCCGGCUAACUCCGUGCCAGCAGCCGCGGUAAUACGGAGGGGGCAAGCGUUAUUCGGAAUCAUUGGGCGUAAAGGGCGCGUAGGCGGCUUGGCAAGUCAAAGGUGAAAUCCCUCGGCCCAACCGAGGAACUGCCUUUGAUACUGCCUCGCUUGAGGCCGGGAGAGGGUAGCGGAAUUCCCAGUGUAGCGGUGAAAUGCGUAGAUAUUGGGAGGAACACCAGUGGCGAAGGCGGCUACCUGGACCGGUUCUGACGCUGAUGCGCGAAAGCGUGGGGAGCAAACAGG
This 429-nucleotide ribosomal RNA is filed under the name uncultured bacterium. Its description in RNAcentral is "bacterial SSU rRNA". It matches the Rfam family "Bacterial small subunit ribosomal RNA", at positions 355 to 776 of the family's 1533-position model. The record is from RNAcentral.